This is a long non-coding RNA of Leopardus geoffroyi (Geoffroy's cat), 597 nucleotides long. RefSeq lists it as uncharacterized. The record is from RefSeq and is a predicted model, not a curated record. Lineage: Eukaryota; Metazoa; Chordata; Mammalia; Carnivora; Felidae. The transcript has 3 exons.
CUACAUGUCUAGGCAAUGCCUGCCUGAAAACUGCCUGCUUAUGGAGAGGCUCAGUCCUUGGCCAGAUGGAGCUCUCGUCCAGCGAGGGAACCCCAAUCAUCAAUAACAGCUGUGGGCCCCAGGAGCUCCCUGCAAAAGCAGAAAUACCAGCUGAUAUGAGAAACUUCCCACUGACUGCAGUGAAAGCAAGAAACACGAGACGGGAGUGUGAAGAUGGAGAAACUGCUCUGCGACAGGCCACGACAGCAUCUGGAACCUUCUGUGAUCAGCUGCCAGUAUCCUUUAAUGAGAACUCGUGUGUUCCUUGAUAUCUCUCUGGGAGCAUCUCAAGAGGAAGGAGAUGUUCGCCAAGAUGGGAUUUUCCCAAAAGAAUUCUUUAGAAAAAGUGCCAGAACUUUUACCUUCCACCUUGACAGUCCCCAGAGACAAACUGAAAGGACCUCGCUUAAAUGCCUCAUCCGAAGGGUAUUUGCAAUGCUGGCUUCAUCAUUCAAAGCAGGAAAGGCCUUUGUCAUGGUCAAAUGGCUUUAAUGUGUUCUGAAUGCUACAUAAAUUCAAAGUUGAUGGCUCAUUUAUUUGUUGGAUUGAAGUUUUAUA